CGCGGCCUAUCAGCUUGUUGGUGGGGUAAUGGCCUACCAAGGCGACGACGGGUAGCCGGCCUGAGAGGGCGACCGGCCACACUGGGACUGAGACACGGCCCAGACUCCUACGGGAGGCAGCAGUGGGGAAUAUUGCACAAUGGGCGAAAGCCUGAUGCAGCGACGCCGCGUGAGGGAUGACGGCCUUCGGGUUGUAAACCUCUUUCAGCAGGGACGAAGCGUAAGUGACGGUACCUGCAGAAGAAGCGCCGGCCAACUACGUGCCAGCAGCCGCGGUAAGACGUAGGGCGCGAGCGUUGUCCGGAUUUAUUGGGCGUAAAGAGCUCGUAGGCGGCUUGUCGCGUCGACUGUGAAAACCCGCAGCUCAACUGCGGGCCUGCAGUCGAUACGGGCAGGCUAGAGUUCGGUAGGGGAGACUGGAAUUCCUGGUGUAGCGGUGGAAUGCGCAGAUAUCAGGAGGAACACCGGUGGCGAAGGCGGGUCUCUGGGCCGAUACUGACGCUGAGGAGCGAAAGCGUGGGGAGCGAACAGGAUUAGAUACCCUGGUAGUCCACGCUGUAAACGUUGGGCGCUAGGUGUGGGGGACCUCUCCGGUUCUCUGUGCCGCAGCUAACGCAUUAAGCGCCCCGCCUGGGGAGUACGG
RNAcentral lists this ribosomal RNA (643 nucleotides) under uncultured bacterium. Its description in RNAcentral is "bacterial SSU rRNA". It matches the Rfam family "Bacterial small subunit ribosomal RNA", at positions 232 to 885 of the family's 1533-position model. The record is from RNAcentral.